GGCUCAGGACGAACGCUGGCGGCGUGCCUAAUACAUGCAAGUUGAGCGCUGAAGGUUGGUACUUGUACCAACUGGAUGAGCAGCGAACGGGUGAGUAACGCGUGGGGAAUCUGCCUUUGAGCGGGGGACAACAUUUGGAAACGAAUGCUAAUACCGCAUAAAAACUUUAAACACAAGUUUUAAGUUUGAAAGAUGCAAUUGCAUCACUCAAAGAUGAUCCCGCGUUGUAUUAGCUAGUUGGUGAGGUAAAGGCUCACCAAGGCGAUGAUACAUAGCCGACCUGAGAGGGUGAUCGGCCACAUUGGGACUGAGACACGGCCCAAACUCCUACGGGAGGCAGCAGUAGGGAAUCUUCGGCAAUGGACGAAAGUCUGACCGAGCAACGCCGCGUGAGUGAAGAAGGUUUUCGGAUCGUAAAACUCUGUUGGUAGAGAAGAACGUUGGUGAGAGUGGAAAGCUCAUCAAGUGACGGUAACUACCCAGAAAGGGACGGCUAACUACAUGCCAGC
Molecule: ribosomal RNA, 509 nt
Filed under: Lactococcus lactis
Lineage: Bacteria; Bacillati; Bacillota; Bacilli; Lactobacillales; Streptococcaceae
Description: bacterial SSU rRNA
Rfam family: Bacterial small subunit ribosomal RNA
Source: RNAcentral